This 433-nucleotide ribosomal RNA is filed under the name uncultured bacterium. RNAcentral's name for it is "partial 16S ribosomal RNA". It matches the Rfam family "Bacterial small subunit ribosomal RNA", at positions 29 to 507 of the family's 1533-position model. The record is from RNAcentral.
AACGAACGCUGGCGGCAUGCCUAACACAUGCAAGUCGAACGAGACCUUCGGGUCUAGUGGCGCACGGGUGCGUAACGCGUGGGAACCUGCCCUUAGGUUCGGAAUAACUCCCCGAAAGGGGUGCGAAUACCGGAUAAUGUCUUCGGACCAAAGAUUUAUCGCCUUUGGAUGGGCCCGCGUUGGAUUAGCUAGUUGGUAGGGUAAAAGCCUACCAAGGCGACGAUCCAUAGCUGGUCUGAGAGGAUGAUCAGCCACACUGGGACUGAGACACGGCCCAGACUCCUACGGGAGGCAGCAGUGGGGAAUAUUGGACAAUGGGCGAAAGCCUGAUCCAGCAAUGACGCGUGAGUGAUGAAGGCCUUAGGGUUGUAAAGCUCUUUUACCCGGGAUGAUAAUGACAGUACCGGGAGAAUAAGCUCCGGCUAACUCCGUG